Callorhinchus milii (elephant shark) is the source of this 598-nucleotide long non-coding RNA. RefSeq lists it as uncharacterized. The transcript is spliced from 2 exons. NCBI's taxonomy places the organism in Eukaryota, Metazoa, Chordata, Chondrichthyes, Chimaeriformes, Callorhinchidae. The record is from RefSeq and is a predicted model, not a curated record.
GGGAGAGGGAGGUUAGAGGAAGAGAGAGAGAGCAAAAGAAACACGUUUGUCUUCCUGGCGGACUGCAUUAUUUCCAAUUUCUGUGCGGCUUCCUCCCAACCGCCGGCUGCUGCCCCAGGAGGGAGUUCACCAGAGAGGGAGUGGAAGUAUGGUUCUCGUGCCGCACAGCCCACUGGCCGUUAGCUGUCCCACACUGGAUGCGGCGGCCCGUGGACCUUUCUGUAAUAGGGAAUCCAGCCCACAGCAGCCAAAAGGUUGGACCCCCCCCUGGCUUAUAUCAACAAGCAACGUCCACAACAAGCCCAGGUCUGUUCAUCCCUCCAACCAAGAGGCACAACAAGUCCAGCUCAGGUCUGGACACAGGCGGAGUUGAAAAGUGAGCCAAGGAUUGUAAAACAAAGAAAAACAGGAAUAACAACGACUGAUGUGUAGCCUCCUUCAUGCAGUCAGCGCCUUGGAAUGCUGAACAAAGGUAAAGCAAGUGGUGAACGAGCACACUGAGUGAAGAGCACAAGCGAACGAAGAUUCAGAGCUGAGCACGGGCAGAUGCGAGGCAGUGCCACUCUGCUCCUGUACUUCCCCUGACAUUCACCCAUCA